UGGCCGUGAUGACUACUUAGGACACCUUUGGAUUCACGAUGAAAACAAACUCAUAAGAUCUGAGCCCA
Molecule: small nucleolar RNA, 68 nt
Organism: Cololabis saira (Pacific saury)
Lineage: Eukaryota; Metazoa; Chordata; Actinopteri; Beloniformes; Belonidae
Product: small nucleolar RNA SNORD58
Exons: 1
Source: RefSeq, a predicted model, not a curated record